This 568-nucleotide unclassified non-coding RNA is filed under the name Hevea brasiliensis (rubber tree). The record is from RNAcentral. Lineage: Eukaryota; Viridiplantae; Streptophyta; Magnoliopsida; Malpighiales; Euphorbiaceae.
CGGAAUUUCAUAUUUGGUUGCUAUGAAAAAUAAAGAAUUAAAGAUUCUAUGAUCUAUGCUUAGAAUUCCUCAGGCAUCACACCUAAGAUUGAAAUGAUCACCCAACACAAGGGGCAAAAAUUGCUAGAAUUUUUAUUGAUUGAAACUUAAUGAUAAAGCAUUACAAUUUGAGCAUUUAUAGACUCAAAAUAACCCUAUACCUUUCAGAUAUUGGACUCUCAAAAAUAAUCUUAUUCCUAUAAAGGGCAUGGAGUCCUGAAGAAGACUAAGAGGAUUAAUGUUAUUCUAAACCAAUAAGUACUUGAAAAUAAAAAGAAAUGAAGACUCCUGAAGACAUCUGGAGAGCCUUUACAGUAAAGCUUGAAAUUGCAAAUACUCCUGCUUCCUUAAAAAAGAAUACUUGAACAUGAUUACUUAAGGCCUAGGCAAGUUGUCAGCUUAGUUUAUCAUCAUUAGAUGUGCCACAGAAGUGCUUGGCCAUUAGAGCCACCUUUGGCACACUUUUUGUGAACAUGUUGCCAUUUUGCUGCAUCAACUGUUCGGCCAGAUUGGCCUUUCCAAAUCUGGG